RNAcentral lists this ribosomal RNA (309 nucleotides) under Triticum aestivum (bread wheat). RNAcentral describes it as "partial small subunit ribosomal RNA". The record is from RNAcentral. Lineage: Eukaryota; Viridiplantae; Streptophyta; Magnoliopsida; Poales; Poaceae.
AUGCAUUGGAUGUAUACUUUGCCUAUGAAGCUUAGUGGAAAUGCUCAAAUUUACCUCAAUUAUAGUUUUUCAGAUACAUUGCUGGUAUUGUUCUGCAAUCAGUUUACACGUCAGGGAAGUCGGUUUUCUGCUGUCCUGCUGCUCAUCUACACUAAUUUUCCUCUAGGGAUGUGGUUAGUGUUUGUUGCUGGAUCCAAAAGUCAUCGCCGCCUGCUGGUGAUCUUGAGUCUUGACUGUCGCAUUGCUGGAACUGUUGUUGUUGUUGCUCGUGGUUGUCUCACAGUCUUGGCUCUUGGUGGCUGGUCCUAG